RNAcentral lists this ribosomal RNA (528 nucleotides) under uncultured bacterium. RNAcentral's name for it is "bacterial SSU rRNA". It matches the Rfam family "Bacterial small subunit ribosomal RNA", at positions 777 to 1303 of the family's 1533-position model. The record is from RNAcentral.
AAUAGAUACCCAGGUAGUCCACGCCGUAAACGAUGAGUGCUAAGUGUUAGAGGGUUUCCGCCCUUUAGUGCUGCAGCUAACGCAUUAAGCACUCCGCCUGGGGAGUACGGCCGCAAGGCUGAAACUCAAAGGAAUUGACGGGGGCCCGCACAAGCGGUGGAGCAUGUGGCUUAAUUCGAAGCAACGCGAAGAACCUUACCAGGUCUUGACAUCCUCUGCCAACCCUAGAGAUAGGGCGUUCCCCUUCGGGGGACAGAGUGACAGGUGGUGCAUGGUUGUCGUCAGCUCGUGUCGUGAGAUGUUGGGUUAAGUCCCGCAACGAGCGCAACCCUUGAUCUUAGUUGCCAGCAUUCAGUUGGGCACUCUAAGGUGACUGCCGGUGACAAACCGGAGGAAGGUGGGGAUGACGUCAAAUCAUCAUGCCCCUUAUGACCUGGGCUACACACGUGCUACAAUGGAUGGUACAAAGAGCUGCGAACCCGCGAGGGUAAGCGAAUCUCAUAAAGCCAUUCUCAGUUCGGAUUGGUA